CUACGGGAGGCUGCAGUGAGGAAUAUUGCACAAUGGGGGGAACCCUGAUGCAGCAACGCCGCGUGGAGGAUGACGCAUUUCGGUGUGUAAACUCCUUUUAUAUGUCAAGAAAAUGACGGUAGCAUAUGAAUAAGCACCGGCUAACUCCGUGCCAGCAGCCGCGGUAAUACGGAGGGUGCAAGCGUUGCUCGGAAUCACUGGGCGUAAAGGACGCGUAGGCGGGUUGGAAAGUCAGGUGUGAAAUCCUACAGCUUAACUGUAGAACUGCACUUGAAACUUCUAAUCUAGAGUAUGGGAGGGGGAGAUGGAAUUAGUGGUGUAGGGGUAAUAUCCGUAGAUAUCACUAGGAAUACCUAAAGCGAAGGCGAUCUCCUGGAACAUUACUGACGCUAAGGCGUGAAAGCGUGGGGAGCAAACAGGAUUAGAUACCCUCGUAGUC
Molecule: ribosomal RNA, 439 nt
Filed under: uncultured bacterium
Lineage: Bacteria
Description: partial 16S ribosomal RNA
Rfam family: Bacterial small subunit ribosomal RNA
Source: RNAcentral